This 263-nucleotide unclassified non-coding RNA is filed under the name plant metagenome. RNAcentral's name for it is "partial contains small subunit ribosomal RNA, internal transcribed spacer 1, and 5.8S ribosomal RNA". The record is from RNAcentral.
UUUCCGUAGGUGAACCUGCGGAAGGAUCAUUAUUGUAUAACCGAGGUACGUGGUCUGUCUCUGACCCGAUAGAUCGUGCACUCCCGAGUGCCCUCACCCACAUCCAUCUCACCCCUAUGUGCACCACCGCGUGGGUCCCCCUUUGGCUCGUUCGGAGGGGGGCUUACGUUUUCACACAAACUUUGUAUGCAGUCUAGAAUGUAUUUUUUGUUUUUACGAUCACGCAAUAAAUACAACUUUCAACAACGGAUCUCUUGGCUCUC